RNAcentral lists this ribosomal RNA (494 nucleotides) under uncultured bacterium. RNAcentral describes it as "bacterial SSU rRNA". It matches the Rfam family "Bacterial small subunit ribosomal RNA", at positions 371 to 882 of the family's 1533-position model. The record is from RNAcentral.
AUGGGCGAAAGCCUGAUGCAGCAACGCCGCGUGAGUGAUGAAGGCCUUCGGGUUGUAAAGCUCUGUCUUCUGGGACGAUAAUGACGGUACCAGAGGAGGAAGCCACGGCUAACUACGUGCCAGCAGCCGCGGUAAUACGUAGGUGGCAAGCGUUGUCCGGAAUUAUUGGGCGUAAAGCGCGCGCAGGCGGGAUAUUAAGUCUGUUUUAAAAGUUCGGGGCUCAACCCCGUGAUGGAAUGGAAACUAAUAUUCUUGAGUGCAGGAGAGGAAAGUGGAAUUCCCAGUGUAGCGGUGAAAUGCGUAGAUAUUGGGAGGAACACCAGUGGCGAAGGCGACUUUCUGGACUGUGUCUGACGCUGAGGCGCGAAAGCCAGGGGAGUGAACGGGAUUAGAUACCCCGGUAAUCCUGGCCGUAAACGAUGGGUACUAGGUGUAGGAGGUAUCGACCCCUUCUGUGCCGGAGUUAACGCAAUAAGUACCCCGCCUGGGGAGUA